UGUUUAAGCUGUGUGUCAAGAGAAAGACGGCUGAAAUCCUUUGUGCAAACAAGCGCCAGAAACUCAAAUCCCUGCCUGUCUUCUCAGAAACAAACUUGCCCAGCGUCUUCUGUGUGGUUUGGAGAAAUGAUGUUGGAGGCCACUCUUCAGUGGCCUCGCAUCGCCGCCUCUGCACGGAGGUGUCCAGGCAGGAGUGACGGGAGGCCCCAGACAUUCCAGGCUGCUCUCCCCAGGUCCUGAGGAUCCGAGACUGUGAAUAAGAAGGCUGGACCCCUAGCAUGUGUGAGAUGGAGGACUGGGUCACGGCCGUCUGUGGGCUGGUUCCCGGAGCCCAGGAGCACACCGGCAGAGAGAGGGGCCGCCUGGAAACGGGUGACUCCGGGUGCUGGCAGACGUCACUCAGGCAGAAGCUUGGAGGCACACUUACCUGCCUCCACUAGUCCUUGGGCACCUCUGCCAUCUGUGUGAGCAGGGCCUGAGCUCCUGGACUGAGGACGGAGAGGAGAUGCUCAUUCACCCCAGCAGAACUUCAGACGAGUGACCUGGGGUGAGCAUCUCUCCCAGCACGACACCUGGGCC
Bos taurus (domestic cattle) is the source of this 579-nucleotide long non-coding RNA. The record is from Ensembl. Lineage: Eukaryota; Metazoa; Chordata; Mammalia; Artiodactyla; Bovidae.